Molecule: ribosomal RNA, 253 nt
Filed under: uncultured bacterium
Lineage: Bacteria
Description: partial 16S ribosomal RNA
Rfam family: Bacterial small subunit ribosomal RNA
Source: RNAcentral
UACGUAGGGGGCUAGCGUUGUCCGGAAUCAUUGGGCGUAAAGAGCGUGUAGGCGGCCCGGUAAGUCCGCUGUGAAAGUCGGGGGCUCAACCCUCGAAUGCCGGUGGAUACUGUCGGGCUAGAGUGCGGAAGAGGCGAGUGGAAUUCCUGGUGUAGCGGUGAAAUGCGCAGAUAUCAGGAGGAACACCAAUUGCGAAGGCAGCUCGCUGGGACGUAACUGACACUGAGGCGCGAAAGCGUGGGGAGCGAACAGG